This 4671-nucleotide long non-coding RNA is filed under the name Homo sapiens (human). RNAcentral's name for it is "non-protein coding lnc-LRP1B-4:6". The record is from RNAcentral. Lineage: Eukaryota; Metazoa; Chordata; Mammalia; Primates; Hominidae.
ACCAUUUCAAAUGCCAGAGCCUCCAGUGAGGGCUUCUUUCCAGAGGCAACUUUGCUCUUUAAACUCAGACAGGGACUCAUUCUGCUGCCCAGGCUAGAAUGCAGUGGUGUAAUCAUGGCUCAUUGCAACCUCCACCUCCUGGGCUCGAGUGAUCCUCCCAUCUGAACCUCCCCAACUAGCUGGAACCACUGGUGCGCACUACCACAUCCGGCUAAUUUUUGCAUUUUUUGUAGAGACAGGUUUUCACCACGUUGCCCAGGCUAAUCUCAAACUCCUGAACUCAAGCGAUCUGCCCACCUCGGCCACCCAAAGUGCCAGGAUUACAGGUAUGAGACACUGUGUGGUCCCCUCAACUUAUUUUUUUAACAUUUUUUUUUCCAAUGAAGUUGCUUGUCUCUUUCACUUUUGUCCAAUUUGUUUCUUAUAUUUUCUUUUUAUUAUUAUUUUAAUAUUGAUUCAUUUUUUAACUCUUUUUUAUUCCUUUUAUUUCUUUCCCUAGUUUAUUUCAUAACUCACUUUUAUGCUUAUUUCUAUUUUACUGAUUUCAGUAUUAAUUAUUUUAAAUUGCUUUCUUUUGCACAGUUUUAGCUUUAUUAUUUCUUAUAUUAUGCUAUUUAUUCUUUAUUUUUGCUCAACUUCUUAGUUUCUGGCAUUCUGUUCUUUCACUUUAUCUCAUUGGUUUAAUUUCAUAAUUCAAAUUAUUUCCUGGUUAUUUUAACGUUCAUUUUAAGAAAUUGUUAUUGCUUUUAAUUUAAAAAAUGGUCUUUAUAUGGUAUAUGAAAAACAAUUCAAUAUGGAUAGCCCCAAGGACAAAGAGUCUGUACCAUGGAAAGGUGGCCUUGCAGUUUUCUAUCAAACUUCCCAGGAGCAGAAAUUUGCAACCUCCUCUUUGCCGCAACACACCAAAAGGAGCAGAAUCAUUGACUCUUAGUAGUUCUCAGCUGUGAUGCAACAAAGCAUUUCAAAACCUCUAGCUGAAUGCUAAGACAAAGGCUUCUCAUUGUGUGAAAGCUGAAGGAUCUCUCCCUGCAUUCCCUUCAUGGGCAUCUCUAGGCUACUUGGCCUCAUGGAUGCUUCAGGCUCUCCAGUGGCUUCAGAGAUCCCUAGUUUCCAGGACAGGAACCCAGAACCUGAAGAAUAAUGGGAGCAAAAAAGUUUGUAACAUACUCCUGGCCAGCUCACCAAGCUGAAGGGGGUGAGGAUGACAGGAGCUGUGACCCUUCUGGGGGCCCAGACCUUGGGACUCUCUGAGCCAGAGCUGUAACACACCACUGUUCACUAAGCCACAGGCGGCAGGAAUGAACAAGCUAUAAUACGUUCCCACUCGCCGAGCUGCAAGCAGCAGGAAGGAGAAAGAGAGUUGUGGCAUUCCCCGGUGUCUCAGACCUCGGGACUCCCCUAGCAGAAGCUGUGACCCCCACUUGGUGCUCCGUGGUUGCUUGUUUUUCUGAGUUCUCUGGCACCACCUUGUCCCUCCUUGUCUGAAGGCCCACACCCAGCUGUGGAAACCACUUUGGGCACACCCGGUCCCACUAUGGGCUGUGCGCAGAGCUGUGGUGAUCACAGAAUCUGGGAGUGAGCCAACAACAGCCUGCCAGGCCAAGCGGGCGGAGCAAGCCCAGAGGGACUGAGCAAAGCUGGGGCAGAGUACCAGCCACAGAGGUUUUCAGCUGGCAAAGCGGCAGCAAAAGAAUCCUGUCUCAUCAUCAUGUUACAACUUCCUUUGGACAGUUUCUUAACUUCAUUCCCUGUCUCUAUAUUUCACCUUAUAAUCAAAACUCUAUGUCAUCCAUAGAUCAAUUUUUCUAAAAUGCAAAUGAAAUCAUGUCUUAAGAUAUUAUGUAAAGGCCUUUUAUAAAAUACAUUUUUUUCUAUAUUAUGAUUAUUUUUCAUUGUAGAGAUGGGGGUCUCACUAUGUUGCCCAGGCUUAAAAGCCUUUCUUAUUGAUAUCUGAAAAGGGUGAAGUUUUAAUAUGACACACCGGGCCUGUGCCUAGUUCUAGAGUCUCAUUUUGAGUGUCUCUUCCCCAUGGAUGCUAUAGUUCAGCAAACUUAAAAUUGAACUGCCCCAAACUCUCUCACUUGCCUCUCUGUUUUUCCUUAAGUGCAGUUACUUCUUUUCUUUGCAAUAUUCUUUUUUGUGUCUCUUUCUUUCUUUCUUUUUUCCCAUUCACCACUGAUCAGAAGGCAGGAAUAUUUUCUUUCUUGAUUGCCCUUUUUAGGAAAUCAACUUGAGUUUCAAUCCUAACUUUGAGAUAUUACUUUGUACUCCAGUCAGUUUGUUGUCUCUUUUUAAAAUGUUUCCGGCUGGGUGUGGUGGCUCAUGCCUGUAAUCUCAAUGCUUUGGGAUGCUGAGGCAGGAACACUGCUUGAGGCCAGGAGCUCAAGAUGAGCCUGGGCAACAAAGUGAGGCCCCAUCUCUGCAAGAAAUUUUUAAAAAUACAAUAAGAUAGAGAGGAAAUAAGAUAAUUACUUCUGAAGGAGGUAACAUGUUCUAUAAAUCAGAAGUAUGACUGGAGGUAUGAGGUAUCCUGGAGGUAUGUGUGGAUUUAUCUGCCUGGUAUGGCCCAAUUCUCUUUGUUAUUAAAGCAGGAAAUCAACACGACUCAAGUUUAGCACCAGGUAACGUAGGUUUCAUGUGGCAAGAUGACUUAGCUAAACUUGAUCAUCAUGUUUGAAGCCAAUGGCUGCUGAUCUUUACUUCCCUAUCAAACCUGCUGCAAUGCUUUAUAGUAAUGGCUAUGUACUUUCUAUACACUGUCUCCUUCAGUCUUAUGUCUCUUUCCAAUACUCAGAGUGGAAUGGAGUUUAGGGAUUGCUCCCUGGUCUAUCCAAUUUUCCAAAAUUACUACUCUGGGUAAGAUUUUUUUUUUUUUUUUAAUUUUUUGAGACAGGGUCUCACUCUGGCUGCUCAGGCUGGAAGGCAGUAGCACCAUCACAGUGCACCGUAGCCUCGACCUCCAAGUUCCAGGCUCAAGUGAUCCUCCCUCCUCAGCCCUACAGGCAUGUGCCACUGCACCUAGCUAAUUUAAAAUUUUUUUUGGUAGACUCCCUAAUUUGCCCAGGCUGGUCUCAAACUCCUGAGAUCAAGCAAUUCUCCCACCUCAGCCUCCCAAAAUGUUGGGAUUACAGGCAUGAGCCACCACACCUAGCCAAGAUAUUCUUCACUGUAUUCCACGGGACCAUACCUCCUGUCCAGGGAGAACUCCCUGGCUCACAAAAGAUAAGAGUGCACUCUCUAUGCCUAGCUUCUUUUUUUAUAUUUAUUUAUUUGUGACAGGGUCAGGUUUUGCUGCCCAGGCUAGAGUGCAGUGGUGCAAUCAUGGCUCAGUGGCUCACUGCAGCCUGGACCUCCCAGGCUCAAGCAAUCUCCCACCUCAGCCUCCUGAGAAGCUGAGACUACAGGCGCAUGCCACUACAUCUGUCUGAUUUUUGUAUUUUUAUUUUAUAGAGAUGGGAGUCUCCCUAUGUUGCCCAGGCUAGUCUCAAACUCCUAGGCUCAAACAUUCCACCUGCCUUGGCCUCCCGAAGUGCUGGGAUUACAGGCAUAAGCCACUGUGUCUGGCCCCACACUUGGACUUCGUAGGUCUGAAACUUCAUUUUAUUCAAGAGCUAUUCUUAAUAUAAUAGUUUGUGGUUUAAGAUUAUAGCUAUUAACUUUUAUUAAAGACAGAAUUUUCUUCUCAGUUUUCUAAAAAGCUUUUUUUUUUUUCAUAUUCUCUUGGCUUUAAAGAGAAGAGCAGUGUAAAAGUGGCUAGUCUGCCCCUUUAACUGCAAGUUCCCCUUAAAUCUUACUUUCACUUCCACAGUGUUACUGAACCUCCUCUCUGACAAAGGUCUAAUGACUUCCUAAUUGACAAAUCAAAAACUGCCUUCUCUGCUGACAGCCUCUACAUUGAAAGCUUUCGUUCCUAUCACUUCUUUUACAGUGCAAAUCUCAGUUAAUUUCUAUUCUCAUUCUCCUUUGUCUUCUCUUUCAAUCUCACUCCACUCUUUUCCUUGGGUUACUAAGGACAAACAUAUCCCUUUAUUUUUGUACUUGUAGCAGUUUUUGUACUGCUCUUAAUAACCCUUAGUAUAGGCUAAGUUCUCACUUUACCUGUACACAUGAUUGCUGCUGUGAUUUGUUUGACACGGCUUUACCUCCUUCUCCAGAGGAUGCAACAAUAAGGCACCAUCUUGGAAGCAGAAAGCAGCCCUCACCAGACACCAAAUCUGCCAGCACCUUGAUCUUGGAUUUCCCAGACUCCAGAACUGUGAGAAAUAAAUUUUUAUUUUUUAUCAAUGAGCCAGUCUAAGGUAUUUUGUUAUAGCAACGCAAACGGACCAAGAUAAUUACCUUUUUUUACUAGAAUAUUUGUUACCUGAGCAUGAAGUUUUAUCUUUCUUUACUGCCUUUUACAUAGGAGGUAAUCAAAUGUGUCCUGAAUUCAGGUUAUUAAAUUAUAUAAUGAAUUAGAUUAUAUUGCCACUGUGUUGUCUCUUUUCACCAAAAUCUACUAAUAAAUAGUUAUGUUAAGAAAUUAAAUAUAUUGCCAGGUGCGGUGGCUCACGCUGUAAUCCCAGCACUUUGGGAAGCUGAGGCGGGCGGAUCACAAGGUCAGAAGUUCAAGACCAGCCUGGCCAAGAGACCAGCCUGGUCAAUAUGGUGAAACCCUAUCUCUACUAAAAA